RNAcentral lists this ribosomal RNA (253 nucleotides) under uncultured bacterium. RNAcentral's name for it is "partial 16S ribosomal RNA". It matches the Rfam family "Bacterial small subunit ribosomal RNA", at positions 524 to 776 of the family's 1533-position model. The record is from RNAcentral.
UACGUAGGGUGCGAGCGUUAAUCGGAAUUACUGGGCGUAAAGCGUGCGCAGGCGGUUCGUUGUGUCGGCGGUGAAAGCCCCGGGCUUAACCUGGGAAUGGCCGUUGAAACUGGCGAACUGGAGUGUGGCAGAGGGGGGUGGAAUUCCGCGUGUAGCAGUGAAAUGCGUAGAGAUGCGGAGGAACACCGAUGGCGAAGGCAGCCCCCUGGGCUGACACUGACACUGAGGCACGAAAGCGUGGGGAGCAAACAGG